GACGUAGGGGGCCAGCGUUGUUCGGAAUUACUGGGUGUAAAGGGUUCGUAGGCGGUGUGGCAAGUCGGGCGUGAAAUCUCUGGGCUCAACUCAGAGACUGCUUCCGAAACUGCUGUGCUGGAGUGUGGGAGAGGCGCGUGGAAUUGCAGGUGUAGCGGUGAAAUGCGUAGAUAUCUGCAGGAACACCCGUGGCGAAAGCGGCGCGCUGGACCACUACUGACGCUGAGGAACGAAAGCUAGGGGAGCAAACAGG
Molecule: ribosomal RNA, 253 nt
Filed under: uncultured bacterium
Lineage: Bacteria
Description: partial 16S ribosomal RNA
Rfam family: Bacterial small subunit ribosomal RNA
Source: RNAcentral